UGCGGGAUCGUCUAGUGGUAGGACGCUUGACUCUGAAUCAAGUAACCUAGGUUCGAAUCCUGGUCCCGCAG
This 71-nucleotide transfer RNA is filed under the name Candidatus Harrisonbacteria bacterium CG10_big_fil_rev_8_21_14_0_10_42_17. RNAcentral's name for it is "tRNA-Gln". It matches the Rfam family "tRNA". From Rfam's summary of the family: Transfer RNA (tRNA) molecules are approximately 80 nucleotides in length. Their secondary structure includes four short double-helical elements and three loops (D, anti-codon, and T loops). Further hydrogen bonds mediate the characteristic L-shaped molecular structure. tRNAs have two regions of fundamental functional importance: the anti-codon, which is responsible for specific mRNA codon recognition, and the 3' end, to which the tRNAs corresponding amino acid is attached (by aminoacyl-tRNA synthetases). tRNAs cope with the degeneracy of the genetic code in two manners: having more than one tRNA (with a specific anti-codon) for a particular amino acid; and 'wobble' base-pairing, i.e. permitting non-standard base-pairing at the 3rd anti-codon position. The record is from RNAcentral. Lineage: Bacteria; Candidatus Harrisoniibacteriota.